RNAcentral lists this ribosomal RNA (491 nucleotides) under uncultured bacterium. Its description in RNAcentral is "partial 16S ribosomal RNA". It matches the Rfam family "Bacterial small subunit ribosomal RNA", at positions 29 to 506 of the family's 1533-position model. The record is from RNAcentral.
AGUGAACGCUGGCGGUAGGCCUAACACAUGCAAGUCGAACGGCAGCACAGUAAGAGCUUGCUCUUACGGGUGGCGAGUGGCGGACGGGUGAGGAAUACAUCGGAAUCUACUUUUUCGUGGGGGAUAACGUAGGGAAACUUACGCUAAUACCGCAUACGACCUACGGGUGAAAGCAGGGGAUCUUCGGACCUUGCGCGAUUGAAUGAGCCGAUGUCGGAUUAGCUAGUUGGCGGGGUAAAGGCCCACCAAGGCGACGAUCCGUAGCUGGUCUGAGAGGAUGAUCAGCCACACUGGAACUGAGACACGGUCCAGACUCCUACGGGAGGCAGCAGUGGGGAAUAUUGGACAAGGGGCGCAAGCCUGAUCCAGCCAUACCGCGUGGGUGAAGAAGGCCUUCGGGUUGUAAAGCCCUUUUGUUGGGAAAGAAAAGCAGCAGGUUAAUACCCCGCUGUUCUGACGGUACCCAAAGAAGAAGCACCGGCUAACUUCUU